GUGUAGUGUGAAAGGAGAGACGUUUAGCACUCCCCUAGACAAGGAUGGAAACACAUAUAAAUUGGAAAGGCACUGUCGUCAAUUUGGCGACACUUGUCACAUUUUUUGU
RNAcentral lists this non-coding RNA (109 nucleotides) under Habropoda laboriosa. The record is from RNAcentral. Lineage: Eukaryota; Metazoa; Arthropoda; Insecta; Hymenoptera; Apidae.